RNAcentral lists this long non-coding RNA (1140 nucleotides) under Marmota monax (woodchuck). Lineage: Eukaryota; Metazoa; Chordata; Mammalia; Rodentia; Sciuridae. The record is from RNAcentral.
GGAAAAUUGAUAAAACCAGUCUGGUUCUUUGAAAUAAUCAAUAAAAUUGGUAAACCUAUAGCCAGAUUAAGAAAGCAGAGACAAAUUACCAAUUUUAGCAUACCAGCAAUGAGGAAUGCUCAUUUGAAAUUUAAAAACACAGUACCACUUACAUUAGCGCGCGCACGCGCGCGCACACACACACACACACACACACACACACAAAAUGGAAGAUGUAGGUAUAAACCUAGUAAAAUAUACACAAGACCUAUGAGGAAAGCCAUAAAACUGUGAUGGAAAAAAAUUCUAAUAAAUGAAGAGAGAUCAUGUUCAUGGACAGGAAGAAUCAAUAUUCUAAAAAUGUCAGUUCUUCCAAUUUGAUGUGUAGAUUCAAUGUAACCUCUAUUAAAAGUCCCAACAAGUUAUUUUAUGGAUAUUAACAAGCUAAAUUUUAUAGGGAAAGAGAAGGGUAUGGCUAAUGCAGUAUUCAAGAGGAAUAAAGUAAAAACACUGAUACUACUGACCUCAAGACUUACUAGAAAGCUAUAGUAACCAAGAUGGUGUGAUGUUGGCAUAAAAACAGAAGAGGAACUGAGGAUAUAGCACUUGCUUAGUAUGUGUGUCACCCCAAAUUUGAUCUCUCACACUGCAAAACAAAAGAACAAAAAACAAACAAACAACAACAAUAACAAAAAAAACAAACAAAAAAAAAAAAACAACCCAGACCAAUUGAUCAAUGGAACAGAAAGCCCAGACAUGGAUUCACACAAAUAUAAUCAAUUAAUUUUUGAAAAAGGAAUAAGUGAAAUUCAAUGAAGAAGUUUGUUUCAAUAAAUGUGUCUGGCACAACUGUUCAUAUGCAUGCAAAAAAAAGAGGAGGAGGCAAAGAAGAGGAAGAAUCUAGACACAGACCGUACAUUUUUCGUAAAAAUUAAAGCUGGGGCUGGAGUUUGUAGCUCAGUGAUAGUGUGCUUGUCUACCAUGACACUGGAUUCAAUCCUCAACACCACAUAAAAAUAAAUAAAUAAAAUAAAGGAUUAAAAAAGAUUAUUUAAAAAAGUCACAGACUGAAAGAAAGUCUUUAGUGAUCACAUUUCCAUAAAGAGCUGCUAUCUACAAUAUACAGCGAACCCUUAAAAUUUAGAAAACAGUCAAAUCUUA